Molecule: ribosomal RNA, 460 nt
Filed under: uncultured bacterium
Lineage: Bacteria
Description: partial 16S ribosomal RNA
Rfam family: Bacterial small subunit ribosomal RNA
Source: RNAcentral
CCUACGGGUGGCAGCAGUGAGGAAUAUUGGUCAAUGGGCGAGAGCCUGAACCAGCCAAGCCGCGUGAAGGAUGAAGGAUCUAUGGUUUGUAAACUUCUUUUAUAUGGGAAUAAAGUGAGGAACGUGUUCCUUUUUGUAUGUACCAUAUGAAUACGCAUCGGCUAACUCCGUGCCAUCAGCCGCGGUAAUACGGAGGAUGCGAGCGUUAUCCGGAUUUAUUGGGUUUAAAGGGUGCGUAGGGGGUUAAUUAAGUCAGCGGUGAAAGUCUGUGGCUCAACCAUACAAUUGCCGUUGAAACUGGUUGACUUGAGUAUAUUUGAGGUAGGCGGAAUGCGAGGUGUAGCGGUGAAAUGCAUAGAUAUCACGCAGAACUCCGAUGGCGAAGGCAGCUUACUGGACUAUAACUGACGCUGAGGCACGAAAGCGUGGGGAUCAAACAGGAUUAGAUACCCGUGUAGUC